RNAcentral lists this transfer RNA (58 nucleotides) under Aacanthocnema dobsoni. Its description in RNAcentral is "tRNA-Gly". The record is from RNAcentral. Lineage: Eukaryota; Metazoa; Arthropoda; Insecta; Hemiptera; Triozidae.
UAUUUCAUUAGUAUAAUUUAUUAUAUUCAGCUUCCAACUGAAAGAUCAUAGAUGUAAU